AUCGGCCCGUCACGUAAACGUGCCCUGCUGCAUCAUUUCGGGACCCUGAAGGAGAUCGAGCGGGCCUCGGUGGCAGAUCUGGGCAAGGUUCCGGGGGGGAGCGCUGAAAGUGCUCGUAAAAUCUUCGAUUUCUUCCAUCCGGGGAACGGUUGAACGUCUCGCCGCAGCCAGCAUUUAGACUUACCGGAAAUGCGCCCACCGGGCUGUUGACGCGGGCACUUUCGC
Molecule: unclassified non-coding RNA, 225 nt
Filed under: Hevea brasiliensis (rubber tree)
Lineage: Eukaryota; Viridiplantae; Streptophyta; Magnoliopsida; Malpighiales; Euphorbiaceae
Source: RNAcentral